This 497-nucleotide ribosomal RNA is filed under the name uncultured bacterium. Its description in RNAcentral is "partial 16S ribosomal RNA". It matches the Rfam family "Bacterial small subunit ribosomal RNA", at positions 28 to 507 of the family's 1533-position model. The record is from RNAcentral.
GAUGAACGCUGGCGGCGUGCCUAAUACAUGCAAGUCGAGCGAACAGACGAGGAGCUUGCUCCUCUGACGUUAGCGGCGGACGGGUGAGUAACACGUGGAUAACCUACCUAUAAGACUGGGAUAACUUCGGGAAACCGGAGCUAAUACCGGAUAAUAUAUUGAACCGCAUGGUUCAAUAGUGAAAGACGGUUUUGCUGUCACUUAUAGAUGGAUCCGCGCCGCAUUAGCUAGUUGGUAAGGUAACGGCUUACCAAGGCAACGAUGCGUAGCCGACCUGAGAGGGUGAUCGGCCACACUGGAACUGAGACACGGUCCAGACUCCUACGGGAGGCAGCAGUAGGGAAUCUUCCGCAAUGGGCGAAAGCCUGACGGAGCAACACCGCGUGAGCGAUGAAGGUCUUCGGAUCGUAAAACUCUGUUAUUAGGGAAGAACAAAUGUGUAAGUAACUAUGCACGUCUUGACGGUACCUAAUCAGAAAGCCACGGCUAACUACGUG